GAAGGGGGCUAGCGUUGCUCGGAAUUACUGGGCGUAAAGGGCGCGUAGGCGGACAUUUAAGUCAGAGGUGAAAGCCCAGGGCUCAACCUUGGAAUUGCCUUUGAUACUGGAUGUCUUGAGUUCGGGAGAGGUGAGUGGAAUGCCGAGUGUAGAGGUGAAAUUCGUAGAUAUUCGGCGGAACACCAGUGGCGAAGGCGACUCACUGGCCCGAUACUGACGCUGAGGCGCGAAAGCGUGGGGAGCAAACAGGAUUAGAUACCCUGGUAGUCCACGCCGUAAACGAUGAGUGCUAGUUGUCGGCAUGCAUGCAUGUCGGUGACGCAGCUAACGCAUUAAGCACUCCGCCUGGGGAGUACGGUCGCAAGAUUA
This 369-nucleotide ribosomal RNA is filed under the name uncultured organism. Its description in RNAcentral is "bacterial SSU rRNA". It matches the Rfam family "Bacterial small subunit ribosomal RNA", at positions 527 to 896 of the family's 1533-position model. The record is from RNAcentral.